This is a non-coding RNA of Cinara cedri, 817 nucleotides long. NCBI's taxonomy places the organism in Eukaryota, Metazoa, Arthropoda, Insecta, Hemiptera, Aphididae. The record is from the annotation of a GenBank genome assembly.
UACAUAUCAGCCCCAAGACCAUACACCUAUUAACUAGUUAAAAUAGUGAACCGUGCCUUGAGCAAAAACAGCCAAACAACACCUGGCAAGCGAAAAAGGGUAUCUGCUUGGAAGAAAAAUAUGUUUGUCGUUUUUUCCAUUGGAAAAUUCCUUUUUAAAAAAAAAUUCGUUUCCGUUCUUCGCUCUUGUUUUUUUUUGUUUUUUUUUUUUUUUGUUUAUAACAAUAUCUGUUGCAAACCGGCAACCUCAAACUGAUCGUUUUAUGUUUUUAAUACGAAAAUACCGAUGUUUAAUUUUUUUUGGAAAUAUUCAUUUUUCGUGAAUCACCCGUGUGUUUAAUUAUUAUCAUAUCAUAACGUACGGACAAUUUAAAAAGAAAAAAAAAAAGAGAACGAAGAUUUUCCUUCCGCAUAAAUAGAAACUUCCCAACACUGCCUAGCGCUACCUAUUUCAUUCCUUUUUUUGUUUAUCAAACACUACAACAUUGUUAAAUUCAUUCAAACAAAUGUAGCAGUACACAUUUGUACUCUAUCUCCGAGUCAAGCCGAUGACAGUUCUGUAUAUUACGUAAUGUGUGUCUUUGAUGAAUCAAUGUCUUUCGUGGAAAACAAGAAACAAAACGUCUUUUUUCCUUCCCGGACACCCGUUUUUGCUUGACAACAUGAUUUCGUAUGGUUUUUUCGUUAAUAACAAAGAGUGUAAAAGGCACAGUCCACCGGUAAUUAAUAGGCCAAGAUGUUAUUUCGCGUACGGGAAACGCAUCGCCCGUGGCCAAUCGAUCGAAUUUUCCGCGGAGUACAUAUACAUAUUAUUCUUA